UGGUAGUCCACGCCGUAAACGAUGUCGACUUGGAGGUUGUUCCCUUGAGGAGUGGCUUCCGGAGCUAACGCGUUAAGUCGACCGCCUGGGGAGUACGGCCGCAAGGUUAAAACUCAAAUGAAUUGACGGGGGCCCGCACAAGCGGUGGAGCAUGUGGUUUAAUUCGAUGCAACGCGAAGAACCUUACCUACUCUUGACAUCCAGGGAAUUUGGCAGAGAUGCUUUGGUGCCUUCGGGAACCCUGAGACAGGUGCUGCAUGGCUGUCGUCAGCUCGUGUUGUGAAAUGUUGGGUUAAGUCCCGCAACGAGCGCAACCCUUAUCCUUUGUUGCCAGCGAUUCGGUCGGGAACUCAAAGGAGACUGCCGGUGAUAAACCGGAGGAAGGUGGGGAUGACGUCAAGUCAUCAUGGCCCUUACGAGUAGGGCUACACACGUGCUACAAUGGCGCAUACAAAGAGAAGCGACCUCGCGAGAGCAAGCGGACCUCACAAAGUGCGUCGUAGUCCGGAUCGGAGUCUGCAACUCGACUCCGUGAAGUCGGAAUCGCUAGUAAUCGUGGAUCAGAAUGCCACGGUGAAUACGUUCCCGGGCCUUGUACACACCGCCCGUCACACCAUGGGAGUGGGUUGCAAAAGAAGUAGGUAGCUUAACCUUCGGGAGGGCGCUUACCACUUUGUGAUUCAUGACUGGGGUGAAGUCG
Molecule: ribosomal RNA, 700 nt
Filed under: Pantoea sp.
Lineage: Bacteria; Pseudomonadati; Pseudomonadota; Gammaproteobacteria; Enterobacterales; Erwiniaceae
Description: bacterial SSU rRNA
Rfam family: Bacterial small subunit ribosomal RNA
Source: RNAcentral